CAUGCGUUGCCCACUCCCAUCGAUCCCAUCUAUCGUUUCCGCCGCCGCCGCCCCGAAAAAACUCCAUCAAUCCCCAUCCUUGCUUGCCCACUCCCAUCGAUCAUUGUCACCGCCGCCGCCGCCGUCCGAUGGGGGAGACGUCGCCGCUGUCGCCGCCGCCGUCCGAGGGGGAGACGUCGCCGCCGCCGCUGCAAGGUAUGGCAGUUUGAAUCCCGCCCCCGCCUCUGCAAGGCAGGGCGGUUUCAAUCCCACCGCCGCCGAACUCCGGGAAUCGCCGCCGCCAAGUCUCCAGGGCAGGGCGGUUUCAAACCCUGCCGACGAACACCGGGAUAUGCAUAAUCGUCGCUGCCGCCCCCUCCCCCGGCUGCCCCAUGGUCUUCUAUCUCUCCCAACUCCGCUGCGUCUUCCGUCUCUGCAUGAAUCGCUGUUGUGGCAGCCACUCCCCAUGGCGGCCAUCCGGGCACACCGUUUCCGGGAUGAUGGAGGUGAUGUCGGCCAGUUCCCUGUUUUUGUUGGCAUCUUCUGCGAUGGGACCCGUGGGGGCAGGUCGCGCGCUGCUCAUCUGCGUCGAUGGCGUCGGUGUCGUCCUUCCCCUGCCAAGCAUGGCAGCUCCUUGGCUGGAUCACAGUGAUGAUACAGUUGGCUCGGCGGCGGCUAAGGAUCUCGCAGGCUGGCGUUUAUUUGAUGUCUGGGUGUUCCAAUCGUGAUGGAACGGACGUAUAAUGUACAGUAUAAGAAUUUGGACGAGGCUCAUCUGCGUGGAUGGUUGUGGCUUGGCCGCCGGGCACACAAUCCAUUGAUUCACACAUAAGGUUUGCCUUUUUCUUCUCUUUGCAUUCUUUUCUAUUAAGUUUGCAGAUUGUUUGUGUUGGCCAACGAAAAAAGAUUUAGGACCCUAGAUUUAUACAGUUUAAGAACUUACAAAGUUUAGCAAGUAUCUGGUUCUGAACUUUCGAAGAGUGCUUAUAACAGUAAUUUCUUCAGUCUUUUGUAAUUCCGAUUUAAUAGCGAUUCUGUUGUAGUAGCAUCCUUGUAUUUCACCAUUGGAAUGUGUACUGUUUCUUGAUUCUUGAAUUCUGAGCUGAAUGUGCACAUUUAGCGACCACUGCGUACGUACGUGCUCUAACGGAAAGUACGUAGCUGACACAGACCGUAGCCAUCUACACCAAGGCUCCUCUGCCCUACCGAGUCUUGCAAGCGACCGUCGUAAGAAAUAUUCCGUGUGAUGCCGGCAUGUGUUGUUGUUGCACUGUCGCAACCAUCCAUCUACACACCAAAUGUCAAAACCGAGUCACGGUGUUCACAAUGCUGGGCAUUAUUUAUAUCGAAGGACGAGGAGGAAGAUUUGGAUGACCGUAACCACAAUGGCAAGGGCAGCAACAUGGUCGUCACCUGCAAUGCCGAUGGGUGCUGACAUUAUGAUGUUUGGUUUAUUUGUUGAAAGUUACAACCCAUGUUUCAUGAUUUAUUUGCCACCGGUUAAUCAUGGUAUUUUGAAGUGCUCUGACAAUUGCUUGCUGUCUGCAUCUCUUACUUUUCAACUUGCUGCAUAUACAGAUAUACACCAUUAGAAUCUGUUUGUAGAAUAUAUUUACUUAUUCAACAUGCUUCAGUUAUGCUUCUUUCAAAAUCCAGUUGUAGAUUGCAGUGAAGCCCCAUUUAGAUCUUGGCUAUAGUAUUAUUCUUGUCUUAUGACUCGUGACAGAUUGAUAUGUGAUACCAUGACAUAGCAUAUGUGGUACCGUGGUAGUCACAUUUGGUGGUAGUUCUGAUUGUUUGCUAGAUUACGAGAUAAUACCAAGUGCUUCUGCAACUCGGUUGCGGUUUUGAUAGGAACAUGAAGACUUGUGCCAUGCCAUGCAGCAUGUUUGAUUAAAAGGACAUAGUUGCUCCAAUAUAUUGAGCAGGAAGAAGUUUGUUACAAGUGUUUUAUAGAGUUGACGCCAGAGACAUCCGACGGGAUACAUUGGUGAAGGAAUCGAUGAAGAAGCUUCCGUUCAGCAUGGUAUCUCAAUGGAAGAAUAUCCGAAGCAAACCUCCGCUACUUCUCUGUUCCCUUUCAUUUGUCGUGGGAAGACCUUAGGAAGGUAGGAAGACCUUAGGAAGAGCGGGUGGGAGGAAGAGAGGCCUGUGCUAUAGAUGUAGGCGAACAAUGGUCCUUGGAAAUUAUUAGUACUCUACAAAAUGUCUGUCCCCUAUGAUGCCUACAAUGAGCGAGAGAGGGUGGAAGGAAGGGAGAGCGGAGGAAGGAAGAUGGGGAUAUAUGUAGAGAGAGGGAGAUAGGAGGAAGGGAGAUGGGCAUAUAUGUAGAGAGAGGAAGAUCAGAGAGGGAGGGGAGAUUUACAGGACGAUUGUCGUUGAGCCACUCAAAUAUGUAUGUCUCUGUUGCAUCGCACGGGCAAUUAACUAUAGAAAAAUUCAAGGCUAUUUUUUUAAGUGACAUUUAUUCAGUGUGUUCCAACCUUUACAUGCCUUAACUAUAGAAUAAUCUAAUAUUAUGAUUUCUCCAGUAAGCAGUAUACUAUAUACUUAACUGGGACUUUGAAUUUGUGCUUUAGGAAAAUUUGAAUAGACCUCGUCCACGCCGAUAAUUCCCUGGUACAUCAGGUUGAACAAUUUUGUUUAUGUUGUGAGUGGUCAAUAUUCCUUACCGCUGGCCACAUAUCUCACUUUGUGCUGGUCCCCUAGAAUAUGCUAAUGUUUAGUUUCCAAUUUUUCAACUAUCAAAUAUCAGUGGACUUUACAUGGUUUCUUGCAAAAAAAAGACACAUAUGGCCCGAGUUUGUUUGCUCAGGAGCAUUCUUUCAUAGAUUAUAAUAGUCAGUGGCUUAAAAGUAUUGUCAUUGCUAGAAACAUAAAACUGAUGAAAUAAGAACAUAUUUGUACCUUAUUGCCGGCUGACUAUACACACAAGAACCUCGACACUCUCAUUACUGUGUUAUAUAUUUAGUUGCAAUAGUAUUUGAUUUUUCAUGAAGCAAUAUGCUUACUGUUUCUUCAUUCAGUUUCGUGUUUCAAUGACGCAUGGAGGACGACGGUCACGAGCGCAUUGUCGCAAGCUCACAGGAGGGAGGCACACAUCUCAUCCGAUAUAAAAGCACGCUCCAAAGAAUCCCUAACCCUCCAUGGAGCCAUUGCUAGGGGGCGACGAGAUCAACGCCACCCAUCACGACCACCGAGAUGUAGAAGUGCGGUGAUUUCUUGCCUGGCGUAUAACAAUGUGUGUUCAAUGGGUCUCCUCUUCUCACGCACAAGUCUCAGAGGGAGACAACGACAGCUAUUCAGAAUAACCACAACAAAAUUGUUACACAGGUGGUUAGUGGGAGAAGGAACCUGAUACCGCAGCCGAUUCUGCAACAAGGGUGGUGCGUAGAAGAUAGUUGUAGCAAGCAUAUAUAUAAGUCACUCUGGAAAAAGUGUGUAGUUAUUGUUGUAAUAGAGAUCCAUUCCUAUAUUUUCACUGAUAUGCAUGGUUGAAUAGUACUAUGUGUGAUAUGUGAGAGUAAUGUAAUACAAAAUGAAACAUGGUGGAGAGGGCUUCGUGACUGAGCUGGCGAACAAAAUGUCAGUGGUGGAAACGGACAUGUUAUAGAAGAUGUUGAGGGUGGCACCGGAGUUAAUGGCCAAAUGGGGUUCCUCGGCACCGAAGAGAAGGAUGCUGCAGCGACACGUACUGGGUUCCAUUUCCAACCAGAGAAGAACUUAUGAAUGGUAUGUGCGCGAUCCAUUCAUUCUUUCGUUUGAUCCUUAUUCCCCUCAACUCAGAUUCAUUUUAUUUUGCACUUAUGCAUGAUUUUGAUGGAUCAAUAAAUUUAGUGGCAUUAAUUGCAAUGAGAAAUAUCAUAUAUCCAUAAACUUCACAUUGUUGUUGCUACGAGUCUGCUGGUCAGCUACUUCCAGUUAUCCUCAUCGAGAGUUGAUUGUCGGAUUUCACCAAGAAAUCAAAACAGAGGAAAACCCGCCGGUCUUACUACCGAUAGCAUCAAACAAGAAUAUGGGCACUAGAAAGGAGACGAUCCUAUCCACUAUCACAAUGAAACAAGAGAAACAAUUCCUUGCAGUCAUCUAUAAGGUCAGCAUGUUAGGGCUUGGUUGAUUCAUUUAUAUUGCUAUUUCUAUGCACACGUAAAUGGAUCUACGUAUCCACAAUUAAUUUGCUUACCCAUGUGAGUUUGGGGAUAUUUUUUCUCUUGUUAGGAUGCAUGUCAGAUUUAAAUUCUCUGAUAUCUAUGUAUGUAGUGUAAUUUUUAUUUUGUAAAAACCUACUACCAGUCCACGCAUGAAGGUGCACUUAAUUUCUUAGUAUUUCUACGUGCAUUAUCUCUCUUGAAUUUACUUAGUAAUAGUAUUUUGUUAUUUGGGUCUGAAGAUACCAAUAUUGCAAAAAGUAAAUAAUUUGGGAGGAAAGUGAUUUGAACUUUAUACUGUUAAGGACAGUAAACCAAAUUGAUUUGUAUAGAGAUGUGAAUAAUCAAACCGAAAAAGGGGAGUUGAUUAGUAAGGAGACAUCUAGGAUGUUUCAAAUUCUGCCGAAAAGCUCAAUAUAAAUAUGUGUAGAUGUGUUAAAAUUUGUUCACUGAAUUUCUGGUAAUAUAAUUAGUACUACUCCCUCUGUUUCUAAAUAUAAGUCUUUUUUAGAUAUUCCACUGCGGACUACAUACGAAGCAAAAUGAGUGAAUCUACACUCUAAAAUAUGUCUAUAUACAUUCGUAUGUAGUUUGUAUUGAAAUCCAUAGAAAGACUUAUAUUUAGAACGGAGGGAGUAUAUGUUAUGGUGGAUAAAAAUUCUUUUAAAUACACUAUAUAUACUGUGUACUAAAUGGUGGAAUCGUUGGCCGCCUGCCGGCCUUGACUGACAUAGAGAGGGAGAACGCCCUAGAACGGAUGCUCGCGCAUUUGCGCCUCACCAAGGUUCACUGCCUCGCAUGCUUCCUAGGCCGAACUGAGAUGCCGUCUCGAGCCGCUGCGUUCUCGAAAAAAAAUCUCAGAUGCCAUUGUUCCAUUGACCUGAUUCUGAUUGUUUUGUAGACUAAAAUCGUGUUUUGAGAUCAUAUUCAUCAAGUGAGAGACACUUUCCAAUGUGCUAAGAUGUGCAGCUCAACAUCAUAGGAUUGUCACAUCUUGAAUUCUAGUUCUUAGAGCUUUGGUUUCUAACCCUUAUUUGCUUGUCUUGUCUUUUGUUUUACGGGUUUCAAGCUUCAGCACAAAUCUUCUGUAGGAAAUCUUGUACUCAUAGUGUAGAAAAAUGCCGUUUUUGUGAAAUGUCACAGGAGCUACAUUACUAACAUUGUUGUAAUGUUUGUAUGGCAUCCUAUUCUUUAAUCCGUUCAAUUACAGAGUUUAUGAUUAUGUAAAUGGAGUAUGGGAUCUGAGAAGAAAAAAAAGGUAAUAGUACUUUCGUUCACAGGCAGGUUCGACAUAUCCUCGUUUACUUCCCCCUUGUCUUCUGACUGACUCCUUAAAUCAUCAACAUGUGUGUAUAUAUAGUUGCAUCCGAUUCAAGGAAGAUAAUGGACAAGUGCAUUGGUAUGAACAGGUCGUCGACUUUGACAGAAAAUGCAUACAGAUUAUCAGUUUUCCUGCUGAGUUGUACUAUUAUGCUACAGAAUACGCAUAAUUAGUUACAGAUCAGUAGGCUACUCAUCUGGUUAGUUUUCGCAAGUCAUUUCUUUUGUGUGUAUAUAUGUUAUUUUCCUUUUUACACUAACAAGAGUUUCGUGCUUUCUGGUAUGGUGUGGUGCUCCCCACUUCAUUUAGUGAGUUCUUCCUUAAUGGAGGAUAUGGUAUAGGUAAUAGUGAGUGGUGUUCUAGCUUAUGCACUAUUUUCCCCUGGCCUGAGUUCCACACCAUAACAUGCCGCCGCCCCGGCCGCCGCGUCUGCCACGGCGCCGACGCCUCCCUGGCUCGCGGGACAUCCCCUCUAUAUAUUGUAACAGACUCCCAUGAAUACAAUUGAGUUGCAUCCUAUAAUCUUCUACAUGUGUCAUCCGGUUUUAAUGGACAGGUUCCAGCAAAAAAUGUCAUGCUAUAGGGAAAGAGUGGGAAGGGUGUGUUGUAGGGUGGAAUUCUUGUGUUGGAACAACGUGUUGGAGAUAACAUGGUGAAUAGUCCGUACAACUAUAUUUCUUCCCCACAUAUGAGUUGGAUUUGGGGGAGCCCAGACGGAUGAAUUUGGGGAGUCUGCUGGGCACCCAUUUGAACACGGCCGAACGUAUGAGGGAGAAAUGAGCUUCGACUUGUUUAAUAUUGUACAAAAAAUAUUUGCUGCUAAUAAUGAGACAAGUUCUGAUUUGUAAA
This is a long non-coding RNA of Triticum aestivum (bread wheat), 6297 nucleotides long. RefSeq lists it as uncharacterized. The record is from RefSeq and is a predicted model, not a curated record. The transcript has 6 exons. Lineage: Eukaryota; Viridiplantae; Streptophyta; Magnoliopsida; Poales; Poaceae.